CUUUGAACGCAAGGGGGUGUUGUCGGGGUGAAGCCCCGCCUCCUCCAUUUCCGAGGCUGUUUCUGGGGCCUCUGACAGACCUCAGCGUGUGAUGGGCUCCCGGCGUCGCACUGUGAGAGACCGAAGUCUGCAAGCAGAUUUCAACAAAAUCCAAGAUUCUUCCAGGAACAACAGCAAAACCACUCUCAAUGCAUUUGAAGAAAUAGAGGGCUGUCUUCCUUUCUCUGCCAUCGUGGUGUGUUCUUGACUCCGCUUCUCGCCAUGUCUUCUCACAAGACUUUCAGGAUUAAGCGAUUCCUGGCUGAGAAACAAAAGCAAAAUCGUCCCAUUCCCCAGUGGAUUCGGAUGAAAACUGGAAAUAAAAUCAGGUACAACUCCAAAAGGAGACAUUGGAGAAGAACCAAGCUGGGUCUGUAAGGAAUUGCACAUGAGAUGGCACACAUAUUUAUGCUGUCUGAAGGUCACGAUCAUGUUACCGUAUCAAGCUGCAAAUGUCACCACUAUCUGGAGAUUUCGACGUGUUUUCCUCUCUGAAUCUGUUAUGAACACGUUGGUUGGCUGGGUUCAGUAAUAAAUAUGUGAGGCCUUUCGUUUUAAAAAAAAAAAAAAAAAAAAAGAAAAAGAAAUAGAGGAGUUCCCGGAAACGUCGGUGUAGAAGCAGAACCCAGAGCUGGUGUGCGCGUGCGCUGUCUGGCGCUGCAGGCGGAGUCACCGACUCUGUGCAGAGAGGAUUCGAGGGAUGAUGGAGUCUGGCUCUGCUGGCCUAGAAGCAGAGUGCACCCUCAUGCUCAGUGCUCAGUGGGUGUCUGAACUGAGGGGCAGUUGUCAGUUUGUCUGAGUGGGAAACAUCCUGGAUUUUGUUACUUGGCAAAGAGUUGGUGUAAACCUACAGCCAGCAGCAGUCUGGAGCCUGGGAGCCUCCUGAAGUCCUGGGUGAAGCCUCUGGUUUUACCAAUUGCAGGUCGGCUUGGCUGGGAGAGAUGGGUGGCGGGGAAGGGGCAGGAACCUUGAGGAGGAGGGAGAGGAGUCUUUCCUCCUACAGCUUCCCCCUGUCAGCCCCAACCCCAGCCCACACAUUGUACCAUCUCUCCUGCUGUGACUGGGUUGCCUGAAUUUGUGGGAGACCCUUGAUUCCAUCCCAGAGUGUGCGGGGGACGGAGGUAAGGCGGAUAUCCUGGGGGAGGAGGGGAAUGUGCUCUGGAAAUGCCCUUCUGGAACCCUUCAGGGAAAAGGAGACCAUCCUUGGAGUGAACGUCUCCUGACACCCCAAGGUUCAAACUUUCUCAAGCUGAGAGAUGUUUUUGGUAGCAUAAUUAACACGGGGUUUUAAUUUUCAAUAUGGAAAAGACAUUUCAUUUGAGAAUGAAAAUUACUACAAUGAAGUAUGUGAUUUUAAAAGUGGAGACAGAUUGGGGGCUUUGGGGCUGGAUGUAAGUAUUAUAUAUUUGGCCUCAGGGUGCCCAGAGCAAGACAAAAAGCUUUUCUUCACACACACAAAAGUCUGCAUGAGACAGCAAGUCCUGCUGGGCCGCUGCGAUCUGGGUGAAAGGGCCUGGCUCUUUUGUUUGUCUUGGCCUCGCAGUAGCCUCUGUGCUGGGAUUGUGGCUUCAGCUUAAGCAGAAAUAGCAGGUGCUCGAUCGAUACCAUCUUAGCACUCAGCAGUUAGUUGCAUACCUCAGUAUGUCUCGGUGGGGGAAUUUAACAAAAUGCCUCAACUGCUUUGGUAUGAAGUUUUUUUUUUUCUUUUAACUGUGAAUUUUGAAGCUGAAGGGGAAGCUUGUGAGAGAGAAGCAUCUGCCAAGACUUCGAGCUUAUUUUUAUGUCCUCAUCCUCUGAUGUUCUCCUUCUGAAAUGACACGGAGUCAGUCUGGGGGGCAGAGGUGAAGUGGAGACGGAAGGAUUUUCCAGGUGACCGGGGCCAAAACCACCAGAACAUCCACUCUGCCGCCACUGUCUGGUGAAAGGAUUCAUGUAAAAAUGUUCGAGGUGGAAUUAUAAAAAUAGUAACCAUAAGUGUUAAUCUUAAAUAGCAGAAAUAGAAACUUGGCCUUCAGAUAACAUGGCGAUUGAUUAGUUCAUCUGGCUUGAGGCAAACUGAGGAGUCCGGGCCUAGCAGUGCCCUCUGGGCCGGUUUCUCUGCCCUGGGCCACUCUGUGUGCCAGACUAGCUGGACAGAUAGAGACUCUGUGCCCCUGAUGGGGCUGGCUGGGGAGAGGUGGGCUGGGGUGUGUGAGGCUUCACCAUCCACAGCAGCCCCUGCCCUCCCAGCUGACCCAGGGAGUAACCGCACGCUCUAAGCCACAGUGGUCGGGGCUGGGCGUGGACCGCUGGAGAAGAGAAGAUUUGAGGGGGACUGUCCUAGAGGCAGGAGGAGCGGAUGUGUUCCAGAAUGGGCAGAACUAGGAAACUGAGAAAGAUUUUGGCUCAAUAGAAUCCAGCAACUGCUCCACAUGUUGGAGAUGUGUAAGCAGAAGCUGGUCGAGCACUUAAUGAGGAAUGUUGUUGAAAAUGAUCAUUGGAAGAAGUUUAAGAUCUCUUUUAGCCUGGAGAUUGUACAAAUCAGCAUUCCACAUCUGGAGUUAGCGACCCGCAUUAAGCCUGAACAGACAUCUUGGUCUGAAAGGAAGUGGUUUGGAUUCAUGACGCCACGCUCUACACUAUGGAGCUGGGAAUUCCAGAAUUGCUUUGACUCAGAUAUUAAUGGAGAAAGUUAUAUCCAUUAGUGGAUAAAGCCAUAUCUGUUAUGGAUAAAGCCAUAUCCAGAACUGCUUUGACUCAGAUGUGAAUGGAUAAAGCCAAUUAUUGAUUUCUAUUUGCCUAACCUGCCAGCUUUUGUCCCAGCGGCGAAUGGAGAGCCACACGGAUGUUUGUCGUCUCCCACGUUUUGGUGAUCUGCUGUCUGUGGGUCUCGAUGGAAUUUGUUGGCAAGACCGUUUUCUGUAUUGGAUAUUCUUCCCAACAGUGUCCACCCCAAAAGGCUUUCAGCCGAAAGGUCUGAGCCUAGGUAGGUUUACCAAGGGAAGCCAUGAGUCAAGAAGCAUCAGAGUGAAAAGGAUCACUUCCUUUAUUUUACCCGCAGGGGCUAAUGCUCCGAGAGGAAUGUGUACUUGGGCAAGGUCAUACAGGAAGGUCAUAUCAGAGCUGUGCAGGCUGGAGUGUCCUGAUUCUUGGACCACAGAUGUCUCCCUGAGCCAUUAUUUAUUUAUUUUUGAAAAGCACAGUUAUUCCAUCAUUUUGAGUCUUUCUUUGUAGUUGGCUUACAUUGGGGGGCAGGACUGUUUUCUCAGGUGUCUCAUUUGGCAGUCAGCAUUGUCCCCUAUGUUCCCUAUGACUAGCUGAAAAUUCAAGUGUGCCCAUAGGGGUGCACAAAACCACACCCACACCCACACCCCCACACACAUACCCACACCCCAUUAAACCCAUGGGUCUAUCAGGACAUCUUAAAACUCCGUGAUUGGCCGGGCGCGGUGGCUCACGCUUGUAAUCCCAGCACUUUGGGAGGCCGAGGCAGGCAGAUCACGAGGUCAGGAGAUCGAGACCACGGUGAAACCCUGUCUCUACUAAAAAAAAAAAAUACAAAAAAAUUAGCCGGGCGUGGUGGCGGGCGCCUGUAGUCCCAGCUACUCGGAGAGGCUGAGGCAGGAGAAUGGCGUGAACCUGGGAGGCGGAGCUUGCAGUGAGCCGAGAUUGCGCUACUGCACUCCAGCCUGGGCGACAGAGCGAGACUCUGUCUCAAAAAAAAAAGAAAAAAAAGAAAAAAACAGACAACCCCAUCAAAAAGCAGGCAAAGGAUAUGAACAGACACUUCUCAAAAGAAGACAUUUAUGUGGCCAACAAACGUGAAAAAAAGCUCAUCAUCACUGGUCAUUAGAGAAAUGCAAAUCAAAACCACAGUGAGAUACCAUCUCACGCCAGUCAGAAUGGUGAUUAUUAAAAAGUCAGGAAACAACAGAUGCUGGCGAGGCUGUGGAGAAAUAGGAACACUUUUACACUGUUGGUGGGAAUGCAAACUAGUUCAACCAUUGCGGAAGACAGUAUGGCGAUUCCUCAAAGAUCCAGAAGCAGAAAUACCAUUUGACCCAGCAAUCCCAUUACUGAGUAUACACCCAAAGGAAUGUAAAUCAUUCUACUAUAAAGACACAUGCACACAUGUUUAUUGCAGCACUAUUUACAAUAGCAAAGACAUGGAACCAACCCAAAUGCCCAUCAAUGAAAGACUGGAUAAAGAAAAUAUGGCAUAUCUACACCAUGGACUACUACAUAGCCAUAAAAAGGAAAGAGAUCAUGCCCUUUGCAGGAACAUGGAUGAAGCUGGAAGCCAUCAUCCUCAGCAAACUAACACAGGAACAGAAAACCAAACACCACAUGUUCUCACUCAUAAGUGGAGUUGAACAUUGAGAACAUAUGGACACAGAGAGGGGAACAACAAACACCAGGGCCUGUUGGGGGGUAGGGGGUGAGGGGAGGGAACUUAGAGGAUGGAUCAAUAGGUGCAGCAAAACACCAUGGCACACGUAUACCUAUGUAACAAACCUGCAUGUUCUGUACCCGUAUCCCCCCCCUUUUCUUGGAAGAAAUAAAAAAAUAAGAGGGCUCUAUCCAUCAUGGCUGUUGGCUGUCAAAUUAUUUUGAGUGAAUAGAAACCCAUGGUUCCACCUGGAGAACAGAGGGUAUAAAUCCCUCCUGUCCACCACACAGGAUUUUCAGGAGGAGGCACUGACAGAAUGGAUAGGAAAGAGCUGACGUUGUUACUAUCAUUAUUACCGAUCAGCCUAACUCAUAGGUAUAUGCAGUUCUUCAUUCCUUUGAGUUAUUUCAUAAGGAUGGCUGUUCUCAACUUGAACGCCAAGUCUUGAAUGCUUGUCUUGAUGGGUUGUGGAACUUGCAACCGAUUUGUUAAUAAGUGAAAUACUGCAUUUGGUGAAUUAUUUACUUAAUUCAGAUGAUUCCCAGAAUAACUUCCUUCACUGGGAUGUAUCUUGUUGAGUGGCAACAAAACAAGGAUUGUACGUGAUUCCCAUCCUAGCUUAAUAGGCGUUAGUCCAAAACCCAGGAAUGUGCCAUCCGUGGGGAUGUUUUGGGUGGAUGGGUAGAAAAAGGGUGGAAACCCUUGUCAUAGGAUAUAUUUCUGGGAAGGAGAUGCCUAGGUCAAUAGGUUUCAACAUUUUUAUGGUUCUUGAUACUGUGAAAAAUUACCUCCCCAAAGGAUUCCAUCAAUGUGUUCAGCCUUUGAGAUUGUAUGCUACACCGUUUACAGAGCUCUUUCGGUCAUGUUGGUUAUUGUUUUGUAGGUUUGGUGAGUGUCGUACCCCAGUUUAACAGGUAGGGAGAUCGAGACUUGGAGACAGACGGAAUGACAUGUGAAGUUCACAAUCCUUUUUCCUGGCCGGAGGAUCCAGGUUCUCUGAAGCUUAGUUGAGACUGAGCUAAAGUUAAUCUGCGGCGACGUUCUGGAUAUACUGGACAAACACCUCAUUCCAGCAGCUACCACUGGCAAGUCCAAGGUUUUCUAUUACGAAAUGUAGGUUCUAUACUAACAAUUAACAAGUGUACUUCAAUACAUUUAAACAUUCUCAGGAAUAAUUGGCUUUGUUUCUUUUUUUUCUUAGGCAUUUAAUAUUAUUUUCCUUAUUAAAUAUAACCAAAAAUCCCACAGAAAUUAACAAGAGGAGGAGCCUCUAAAUAUCAACAAAAUUAUCACUUGAUAGACUAGAAUUAAACAAGCAAAUGAUUCUAAGAAAUGGCACAAGUGUAUUCAUCAUAAAAUAAAAUUUCUACAUGAAACAUUCA
Symphalangus syndactylus (siamang) is the source of this 5790-nucleotide RNA transcript. It is a transcript of the gene named large ribosomal subunit protein eL39-like, with no coding region annotated. The record is from RefSeq and is a predicted model, not a curated record. Lineage: Eukaryota; Metazoa; Chordata; Mammalia; Primates; Hylobatidae.